Molecule: long non-coding RNA, 565 nt
Filed under: Brassica napus (rape)
Lineage: Eukaryota; Viridiplantae; Streptophyta; Magnoliopsida; Brassicales; Brassicaceae
Description: long non-coding RNA (BNAP_LNC014257)
Source: RNAcentral
AAUUAUCUACGUUUGGUAUCUUUGACCGAGGUGAGACAGAGAUACCGGAAAGUCAAUGAAGAAAAGAAAAGUGAAGACGGCGAUUUCCGGCGAUAAAAAUUUGUAGGGAAGUUGUUCCGGGGAGGAUGUCGAGGAGACGGCGUGGGAAGGCGAAGGCCGACGGUGAGUGUUUGGUGGAUCUAUAAUCGAGAAUGAAUCUAAGUUUUAUUUUUGGAUUUUGGCAGAAACGGCGAAGGUUGAGGGUGUUAAAGAAGGACUACUGGAAAGGUUAUUUGCGACGAACCAAUUUCCGGUGAGAGAUACACAUUCUAUUACAUCUGCCUCAUCUUCUCUUCUUCCUCCGUCGCUGGUGAAUAUUAUUGAAGAAUGACAUGUGUCAUCUCUAGUUCGUCAUAAGAUAUUAGGUCAUUGUUGUAUAUGUAUAUUACUGUAUUUAGUUGUACACCUGAAAAGUAUCAUAUUUGUUGUACACGUGUACACCAGUCUUGGUCAAUUUUAUUGUACUCGUGUACACUUUAAAAACUAUUUUUGACUAUGGUUAGUUAAUCUUAUGUAAACACUAUGC